GGUUUGGGAUGAUUAGCUUGAAAUUACAUUAACUAGAUUACAAGUUCUGGAUUUACAAACGUACUUGCUUCAAAAAUCAUUAAAAGAAGCAUCAUACGGUCGAUUAUAAGCAAUCCUAGGUUCUAAAUUACGUUACAGCCAAGCCAAACGAAAGGAAUAAACUUCAAGAUAAAACUACAUAUCACUUUGCCAUGACACUUGCCCAGGCAUUUCCCUGCAUUUGCCUCUCCAGACCAUUACAAAGUUACACCAAGAAACCGCAGGGUACCCUCUAGCAUCAUGCCAUGACCUGCAAAUCCAAGAACCAGCAGCGUCAUACCGUCAACAUGAACAAGAGUACACGUGCACCAAGAUAAAUACAAAUUAAUACAUGAGUCAUUUCUAUUACUCUAAAUAUUAUCACCAUCAAUUAUGAGUGUAGAAUCUGCAACCAAAGUGGCAUUUGUCAAGCCAUAAUCUGCUGCAGACCCAAUCCAAACAUGUGUAACACACAUGACCUAACUUUAUUGCCAGGGUAAAUACAACCUUGCCAAUCACUUUGAAAAUGUAAUGCAUAAGCCAUGUUGAACCAUCAGCGGAACACCAAUUAGAGCAAGCUGCAAAUAGUCCAUACUUGUUAAAAAACCAUAAGCAAAGCAAUCAACAUAGUAUGAGUAGAGUACAAACACAUGAAGAGCAAGUCACUUUUUUCUAGGGAUUUUGUGCACGAACUCAUAUGGUUUGAGUUAUUAAUUUAAACUCACAUUAACUGAACAAUGAGGUUUAGAUCCAAACGUAAUUGCUUCAAAGGCCAUUAAUGAAAGAAGCUCACACAGUUGGUGAUAACAAUUCUAAGACCUAAAUUAUGGCACAAUCUAAACAAAAUGAAAGAGAGUAAACCUCAUCUCCAAGUCGCCCUAAAAGGAUACCUCGUUUGGAUGUCAUCUACGUUCGAUUCUCAGGAUACACCAAAGUGUUUCAAACCUGCAAAUUGAAAUCAGAGAACAAUCAACAGUUCCUAGUGGAUUUCGUAAAACAACACUAUUGGCACAAACCAAAUCAAAUCAUUUAUAUUUCAAAACCCCACAUUAGUAAAAAAAACAGAAAACCACAAAGCUAGUCUUUUGAGUCGAGGAAAAUACAAAUUACAUGCCAUUUAAAGCUCAAUUUUCAUGACAGUAAAAAUGGAAAUUCUUACCACAACGAGUAUAUGUUUUACUGUUGUAAAGGUUCAAUAGAUCUUACAACAAAAUGACGCGUCUUACCACCUUCAUUGUUUAGGGGACCAUACCAAAAUCUGGAGAUGAUUUUAUUCUAACAGAAUGAUCCGUUGUAUUUGGCCAGCUCACAAAUUUUGUACACAAUUCCAAAAUAACAUAUUUCCUCUAUAAAUAAGUAGGUUCCAAUCAUUGAGAAGGAUAUAUCGUUACCCUGCCGAAAUCCCACCUCAACCUGUAC
This 1437-nucleotide long non-coding RNA is filed under the name Lathyrus oleraceus (garden pea). RNAcentral's name for it is "Pisum sativum (pea) long non-coding RNA (PSAT_LNC019874)". Lineage: Eukaryota; Viridiplantae; Streptophyta; Magnoliopsida; Fabales; Fabaceae. The record is from RNAcentral.